Long non-coding RNA from Phacochoerus africanus (Common warthog), 763 nucleotides. RefSeq lists it as uncharacterized. The transcript is spliced from 3 exons. The record is from RefSeq and is a predicted model, not a curated record. Lineage: Eukaryota; Metazoa; Chordata; Mammalia; Artiodactyla; Suidae.
GAUACUAGAUGACUUCUUAACCUGCUGAACCACAAUGGGAACCCCUCAGCUGGAAUCAAUUGACAGAAAGUUGGAAAAGACAGAGACGUGUCUGGGACAAAAAAGUCCCCCAUACGCCACCAUCCAUAGAGGUUCCCUUCGGGCAGAUGUGGGGGUUUCUGCACAGCUUUCGACAUGAGUGAGCUGACUCAGCAGAGAGCUUUAAACCUUGAAUGUUAAAAGUUAGAAAAGAGCACAGCUGCCAGCUUGAUCCCCUGGCAUGUGACCCUGACAUGUGACCCUGGCAUGGCUGGCAUGAGACCCUAGCAGGUAAGCCUGGCAUGGAUGGCGCCUCCAGGAUUCCCAAAGCUGAGACUGGUGUUCCUCACGCCCAGUGCUGAGGGCUGUGGGCUUGGGAAAAGUGGUGGCUUGAAAACCACAACUGCGAGCGCCAGAGGAAAAGCUGGCUUCCAUCCCUUGUUCUCAGUGUCCCAGACCGACCCAGGCCUGGUCUGAUCUUUCCAAAACUCCCCUCCUGCAGACCUGAGCGUGGCCCACGUGGUGAAGUGGGUUUCAAGCUGGCGCAUGGCUGGCUGGCAUGACGGGAAAUAUCAAAGAUGGUUUGAUUCGGGUCUUGGCCCCUUUUCAUUCUCUUUUGACCCAAUUUUUUUUCAAAGGCCCUGAAUUAAGGACCAGAAAUGAAAGACUUCUCUGUAGUUCUGCAGGCAUCUCACUUUAAACCUGGAAGAGAAAUUCAUAGUUUUGUUUUUUUCUCCUCCUUUUA